This 506-nucleotide ribosomal RNA is filed under the name uncultured bacterium. RNAcentral describes it as "bacterial SSU rRNA". It matches the Rfam family "Bacterial small subunit ribosomal RNA", at positions 30 to 527 of the family's 1533-position model. The record is from RNAcentral.
AUUGAACGCUGGCGGCAUGCCUUACACAUGCAAGUCGAACGGUAACAGGUCUUCGGAUGCUGACGAGUGGCGAACGGGUGAGUAAUACAUCGGAACGUGCCCGAUCGUGGGGGAUAACGCAGCGAAAGCUGUGCUAAUACCGCAUACGAUCUACGGAUGAAAGCGGGGGAUCGCAAGACCUCGCGCGGACGGAGCGGCCGAUGGCAGAUUAGGUAGUUGGUGGGAUAAAAGCUUACCAAGCCGACGAUCUGUAGCUGGUCUGAGAGGACGACCAGCCACACUGGGACUGAGACACGGCCCAGACUCCUACGGGAGGCAGCAGUGGGGAAUUUUGGACAAUGGGGGAAACCCUGAUCCAGCCAUGCCGCGUGCAGGAUGAAGGCCUUCGGGUUGUAAACUGCUUUUGUACGGAACGAAAGGUACCUUUCUAACUAAAGAGGGCGUCAUGACGGUACCGUAAGAAUAAGCACCGGCUAACUACGUGCCAGCAGCCGCGGUAAGGACCG